This 118-nucleotide non-coding RNA is filed under the name Amborella trichopoda. Its description in RNAcentral is "Bacterial small subunit ribosomal RNA". It matches the Rfam family "Bacterial small subunit ribosomal RNA", at positions 402 to 535 of the family's 1533-position model. Lineage: Eukaryota; Viridiplantae; Streptophyta; Magnoliopsida; Amborellales; Amborellaceae. The record is from Rfam by way of RNAcentral.
UGGAGAUAGAAGGCCCACGGGUCUUGAACUUCUAUUCUCGGAGAAGAAGCAAUGACGGUAUCCAAGGAAUAAGCAUCGGCUAACUCUGUGCCAACAGCCACGGUAAGACAGAGGAUGC